This 621-nucleotide long non-coding RNA is filed under the name Sparus aurata (gilthead seabream). Its description in RNAcentral is "lncRNA (ENSSAUG00010016624.1)". The record is from RNAcentral. Lineage: Eukaryota; Metazoa; Chordata; Actinopteri; Spariformes; Sparidae.
AUGAGUCUCUUCCAACAGAGAGUAGUUAUGAGGGAGAUACCUCUAUAUGUUUUGCUUGGUCAUCUUCUCAUAGCUGCAGUUGGCUCUGUCUGCCUUCCCGUCCAGUGCCUGAAAUGUAAUGUCACAGGACAAAUUCGGGCAGGACCGUGCGUCAAUGUGACUCAAUCCAACUGCACCAAAGACUUUAAGGUCUCUGUCAUCAGCAAUGGAUCUGAGGUAAAUGCGGGUGAAAAAAUCACUCUAACAUGUGACCAUAACCUUCGCAAUCUCAGUCUGAUGUUUGAAUGGACAAGGGAUGAGAAGAAAAUUAAGGAACGCGGAAAUGGAAGCAAGCUGGUUCUCCAAAAAGUGACAUUGCGUCACUCAGGCAAAUAUUCCUGCUCUGUGAAGAGCAUUUGUGGCAAUUAUACGUCUCCGCCACACGGUGUCACUGUAAACGACAACAGUGUGGUGCUCUUGGUGGUUUGUGGUGUUGCUGCUCUGGUCCUGAUUGUGAUUAUGGGGAUAGCUAUGAAGUUAAAGCUGAAAAGAGACAACGCUAAACACAAAGAGAGGAUGAAGCAGAGAGCACAGGCUGCGCAGAGUAGCAGUCCAGCUCCAAUCACACCAAGAGAAUCCUAA